GACGAACGCUGGCGGCGUGCCUAAUACAUGCAAGUAGAACGCUGAAGGAGGAGCUUGCUCUUCUGGAUGAGUUGCGAACGGGUGAGUAACGCGUAGGUAACCUGCCUGGUAGCGGGGGAUAACUAUUGGAAACGAUAGCUAAUACCGCAUAAGAGUAGAAGUUGCAUGACAUUUGCUUAAAAGGUGCAAUUGCAUCACUACCAGAUGGACCUGCGUUGUAUUAGCUAGUUGGUGGGGUAACGGCUCACCAAGGCGACGAUACAUAGCCGACCUGAGAGGGUGAUCGGCCACACUGGGACUGAGACACGGCCCAGACUCCUACGGGAGGCAGCAGUAGGGAAUCUUCGGCAAUGGACGGAAGUCUGACCGAGCAACGCCGCGUGAGUGAAGAAGGUUUUCGGAUCGUAAAGCUCUGUUGUAAGAGAAGAACGAGUGUGAGAGUGGAAAGUUCACACUGUGACGGUAUCUUACCAGAAAGAGACGGCUAACUACGUG
This 495-nucleotide ribosomal RNA is filed under the name uncultured bacterium. RNAcentral describes it as "partial 16S ribosomal RNA". It matches the Rfam family "Bacterial small subunit ribosomal RNA", at positions 28 to 507 of the family's 1533-position model. The record is from RNAcentral.